Molecule: ribosomal RNA, 301 nt
Filed under: uncultured bacterium
Lineage: Bacteria
Description: partial 16S ribosomal RNA
Rfam family: Bacterial small subunit ribosomal RNA
Source: RNAcentral
CAGCCGCCACGGUAAUACGGAGGGUGCAAGCGUUAAUCGGAAUUACUGGGCGUAAAGCGCACGCAGGCGGUCUGUCAAGUCAGAUGUGAAAUCCCCGGGCUUAACCUGGGAACUGCAUUUGAAACUGGCAGGCUAGAGUCUUGUAGAGGGGGGUAGAAUUCCAGGUGUAGCGGUGAAAUGCGUAGAGAUCUGGAGGAAUACCGGUGGCGAAGGCGGCCCCCUGGACAAAGACUGACGCUCAGGUGCGAAAGCGUGGGGAGCAAACAGGAUUAGAUACCCCAGUAGUCCCUGUCUCUUAUAC